This 301-nucleotide ribosomal RNA is filed under the name uncultured bacterium. RNAcentral describes it as "partial 16S ribosomal RNA". It matches the Rfam family "Bacterial small subunit ribosomal RNA", at positions 509 to 807 of the family's 1533-position model. The record is from RNAcentral.
CAGUCGCCGCGGUAAUACGAAGGGGGCUAGCGUUGCUCGGAAUGACUGGGCGUAAAGGGCGCGUAGGCGGAUGGCACAGUCAGAUGUGAAAUUCCCGGGCUUAACCUGGGGGCUGCAUUUGAUACGUGUUGUCUAGAGUGAGGAAGAGGGUUGUGGAAUUCCCAGUGUAGAGGUGAAAUUCGUAGAUAUUGGGAAGAACACCGGUGGCGAAGGCGGCAACCUGGUCCUUGACUGACGCUGAGGCGCGAAAGCGUGGGGAGCAAACAGGAUUAGAUACCCCAGUAGUCCCUGUCUCUUAUAC